RNAcentral lists this ribosomal RNA (497 nucleotides) under uncultured bacterium. RNAcentral's name for it is "partial 16S ribosomal RNA". It matches the Rfam family "Bacterial small subunit ribosomal RNA", at positions 28 to 507 of the family's 1533-position model. The record is from RNAcentral.
GAUGAACGCUGGCGGCGUGCCUAAUACAUGCAAGUCGAGCGAACAGACGAGGAGCUUGCUCCUCUGACGUUAGCGGCGGACGGGUGAGUAACACGUGGAUAACCUACCUAUAAGACUGGGAUAACUUCGGGAAACCGGAGCUAAUACCGGAUAAUAUAUUGAACCGCAUGGUUCAAUAGUGAAAGACGGUUUUGCUGUCACUUAUAGAUGGAUCCGCGCCGCAUUAGCUAGUUGGUAAGGUAACGGCUUACCAAGGCAACGAUGCGUAGCCGACCUGAGAGGGUGAUCGGCCACACUGGAACUGAGACACGGUCCAGACUCCUCCGGGAGGAAGCAGUAGGGAAUCUUCAGCAAUGGGCGAAAGCCUGACGGAGAAACGCCGCGUGAGUGAUGAAGGUCUUCGGAUCGUAAAACUCUGUUAUUAGGGAAGAACAAAUGUGUAAGUAACUAUGCACGUCUUGACGGUACCUAAUCAGAAAGCCACGGCUAACUACGUG